This 860-nucleotide ribosomal RNA is filed under the name uncultured archaeon. RNAcentral describes it as "bacterial SSU rRNA". It matches the Rfam family "Archaeal small subunit ribosomal RNA", at positions 21 to 903 of the family's 1478-position model. The record is from RNAcentral.
GGCGACCGCUAUUGGAGUUCGAUUAAGACAUGCGAGUCUGAGCAUUAGCUCGGCGUACCGCUUAGUAACACGUGGGUAACCUGCCCUAUCGUUUUGAAUAACCUCGGGAAACUGAGAACAAUACAUCAUAGUCCACUACGCCUGGAACGGUGAGUGGAUGAAGGUAGGAUGGGCCUGCGGCGUAUCAGGUUGUAGGGGGUGUAAUGGACCUCCUAGCCAUCGACGCGUACGGGUGUUGGGAGACAUAGCCCGGAGAUGGAUUCUGAGACACGAAUCCAGGCCCUACGGGGCGCAGCAGUUACGAAAACUUGGUAAUGCGGGAAACCGUGACCAGGGAACUCCAAGUGAGUCUCUUUUAGGGGCUCUUUUCUUGACUCUAAAACGGUCUUGGAAUAAGGGGUGGGUAAGGACGGUGCCAGCCGCCGCGGUAAUACCGGCGCCUCAAGUGGUCGUCGCUUUUAUUGGGCCUAAAACGUCCGUAGCCGGUUUGGUACAUUCGUGGGUAAAUCAGCUCGCUCAACGAGUUGAAUUCUGCGAGGACGGCCAGACUAGGGACCGGGAGAGGUGUGGGGAACUCUCAGGGUAGGGGUAAAAUCCUGUCAUCCUGAGAGGACCACCUGUUGCGAAGGCGCCACACUAGAACGGAUCCGACGGUCAGGGACGAAGCCUAGGGGCACGAACCGGAUUAGAUACCCGGGUAGUCCUAGGUGUAAACGCUGUGGACUUGGUGUUGGGGAAGCCCAGAGCUUUCCCAGUGCCGUAGCGAAGGUGUUGAGUCCACUGCCUGGGGAGUACGGUCGCAAGGCUGAAACUUAAAGGAAUUGGCGGGGGAGCACUGCAACCGGAGGAGUGUGCGGUUU